AUGGCGAGGACUAGUCGCCGGCGAGAGGCUGCCAAAUUGAUGGCCAAACCAUCGGUUAAGGCGGAAUCCUCCCUCGACAAGCUGAAAUGUAAGGAAGAUGAUAGGAUCAGCAAGUUGCCCAAUGACAUACUGGUCAACAUUCUUGACCGUCUCAAUUUCCGUGAUGUUACAAGAACCAGUGUCCUCUCCAGACGUUGGAGUCAGCUUCCUGCCAAUCUCUCACGGCUUAAAAUAAGUGCUCGCGAUUUUCUGUCCCCACAAGCUAGCAUACCUGAUGAUGAAUUGGAUGAAAAAUUGCUUCGGAUCAAUGCAUUGCUUAGGAUCAAUGCAGUCAAUGCAGCCAAUGCAGCUGUGGUCAAAGCGACAGAGAGCACGCUGGCACACAGAGAUCCAGGUGGAUGCACCAUCCGCCUCUUGAGCACGACGUUCUACUUGAGAGGUGAUACCCCAAUAUCUGUUGGGCAUACUGUUGGCAAUGCCAUGGCGACACUCAAGGUCGAGAAAGCCGAAUUCACAGUUUUGACACAGCAGAAAGGACGCCAGUGUAGUAUUGAUGAGAUGGUGAAGUUUGGGACACGGUUUGUGUCAUUUUUUAAUGAAUGCCACAAUGCAUUUGCUGGUCUCACACGCCUCUACCUGGAGAAUUUGAGAUUCCGUGAAUCCAACUUUGUCUCUAACAUCCUUGUCACUUGCAAGCAAUUAAAUUAUUUAGGUUUUUUCAAUUGUGACACAGAGGAUUGGAUAACGCUCCAAGUUGAACACGCACAGCUCAGUGAGCUUAGUAUUGUUGAUUGCCGUUUUGACAUGGUCGAGCUCACCUGGGUUCCGAAACUCACCUGGCUGGCGUUUUUGUUAUGGUUAUAUCAUGCAGAACUACCACUGUCACUGGGCUAUGUCCCAUUGCUCAGGGUUCUGAGACUUUCAAAUGCUGCUCAUAGUUUCCACAAAAACGUCAAGCUGAGUAUGUUUCUCCAUGAGACCUCUGUUCGAGACCUGACUUUGGGGUUUAAAUGUGAAAAGGUUUGGGUUCAACCAGAGUGUUUGACCAGAAGACAGGCAUAUGUGUUCCAGCAACUAAGGAUUCUCAAUCUAGUUAAAAUUCCUGAAGGGUAUGAUCUCACCUGGACAAUGUUCUUCUUGGAAGCGGCGCCGUCCCUGGAGGAGCUCUACAUGAUGGUAUGGGACCAUCCAUGUGAAAUGAAAAUGGAUCAGGAGAUUAGCGAGAACAAGGGCGUUGAGUGGGAAUCACCUACAUCAAAUUUCAAGCACCACUGUCUGGCCAAGUUCAUCCUCGUCGGCUUUCAAGCUAAAGACUACAUGGUGGCUCAUGUCAGGCGUGUCCUGAAAGCAGCGGUGAAUCUACAGGAUGUGUACCUGUAUGAUAGUCUGGCAUGUGCCAAGUGUCACAAGAAGGUAGAGAAUGCGCGCACGUCUGAUGCAGUGGUACGUGGUAUGUGCCCGGGCGUGAAUCUGCCGAUAAAGUUCCCUUGUACAAAUGAGGACCAGCGUUCAGUGCAGAAGCGAAUGCCCCGGGGCAUUGGGUCACUUGCCAAAAUCCACUUCGUGACAUCUAAGGAAAUGAGGGCUGAACAUCGUCGAAGGAUGGGUGUCAUGGGAGCUAACUGGAUGUUGUCGAGGCUAGGGCAGCGUAUUUAA
RNAcentral lists this ribosomal RNA (1656 nucleotides) under Triticum aestivum (bread wheat). Its description in RNAcentral is "partial small subunit ribosomal RNA". Lineage: Eukaryota; Viridiplantae; Streptophyta; Magnoliopsida; Poales; Poaceae. The record is from RNAcentral.